This 137-nucleotide ribosomal RNA is filed under the name uncultured bacterium. RNAcentral describes it as "partial 16S ribosomal RNA". It matches the Rfam family "Bacterial small subunit ribosomal RNA", at positions 355 to 509 of the family's 1533-position model. The record is from RNAcentral.
UGGGGAAUAUUGCACAAUGGGGGGAACCCUGAUGCAGCGACGCCGCGUGAGUGAAGAAGUCAUUCGUGAUGUAAAGCUCUAUCAGCAGGGAAGAAAAUGACGGUACCUGACUAAGAAGCCCCGGCUAACUACGUGCC